RNAcentral lists this ribosomal RNA (364 nucleotides) under uncultured bacterium. RNAcentral's name for it is "bacterial SSU rRNA". It matches the Rfam family "Bacterial small subunit ribosomal RNA", at positions 512 to 874 of the family's 1533-position model. The record is from RNAcentral.
CAGCCGCGGUAAGACGGAGGAUGCAAGCGUUAUCCGGAAUUACUGGGCGUAAAGCGUCUGCAGGUGGUUUCCUAAGUCUACUGUUAAACCUUGAGGCUCAACCUCAAAUCUGCAGUGGAAACUAGGAGACUUGAGUAUAGUAGGGGUAGAGGGAAUUUCCAGUGGAGCGGUGAAAUGCGUAGAUAUUGGAAAGAACACCGAUGGCGAAGGCACUCUACUGGGCUAUUACUGACACUCAGAGACGAAAGCUAGGGGAGCAAAUGGGAUUAGAUACCCCAGUAGUCCUAGCCGUAAACGAUGGAUACUCGAUGUUGGACGUAUCGACCCGUUCAGUAUCUUAGCUAACGCGUUAAGUAUCCCGCCU